This 378-nucleotide ribosomal RNA is filed under the name uncultured organism. RNAcentral describes it as "partial 16S ribosomal RNA". It matches the Rfam family "Bacterial small subunit ribosomal RNA", at positions 527 to 896 of the family's 1533-position model. The record is from RNAcentral.
GGAGGGAGCUAGCGUUGUUCGGAAUUACUGGGGCGUAAAAGCGCACGUAGGCGGCUUUGUAAGUCAGAGGGGUGAAAGCCUGGAGCUCAACUCCAGAACUGCCUUUGAGACUGCAUCGCUUGAAUCCCAGGAGAGGUGAGUGGAAUUCCGAGUGUAGAGGUGAAAUUCGUAGAUAUUCGGAAGAACACCAGUGGCGAAGGCGGCUCACUGGACUGGUAUUGACGCUGAGGUGCGAAAGACGUGGGGAGGCAAACAGGAUUAGAUACCCUCGGUAGUCCACGCCGUAAACGAUGAUAACUAGCUGUCCGGGCACUUGGUGCUUGGGUGGCGCAGCUAACGCAUUAAGUUAUCCGCCUGGGGAGUACGGUCGCAAGAUUA